Long non-coding RNA from Nymphaea colorata (pocket water lily), 654 nucleotides. RefSeq lists it as uncharacterized. The transcript has 2 exons. Lineage: Eukaryota; Viridiplantae; Streptophyta; Magnoliopsida; Nymphaeales; Nymphaeaceae. The record is from RefSeq and is a predicted model, not a curated record.
CCAACGGGAGAGCUUCCCCUGUUCUUUCGAUGAAGAGGGGGAAGGCGACGAUGCUCCUCUCCAUAUAACCUAUCUCCUCAGCCAUUCGAUCUUCGAAGUUCCGACCAUAGCAGAAUGUAUCAACUCUUACCGAUGCGGUGCCUCCCUCAUCUCCCGUUCCUCCCUUUCCUCUGCUCCCCCAGGCCGAAGAAAUUGAAACUUCAGAUCAAUCCUCUAUCCCGAUAGCGAUAUUCUGCGGAGGAGCUUCAGUAUGCGUAAAUCUUGGGUUCCCUCCGAUUUCGCCACGUGUUGAAGAAGAAAAAACGGAGUCGAUCUGGGGUUAUUAUUGUGAAAACUGCCCCGUGAAAUCCUUCGCCUAUAACAUGUUUAUGAAGAAGAAGCCUGAAAAAGGGAAAAUGGUCCGUUCUAUUCGAUUCAAGAGGCAACGAGGUGAAUUCCGUUCAUUCUCAGUGCAUUCGCUUUUGGUUGAACCUGUGAUGAUGUGGGUUAUGAUUUUGCAAUGAAGAGUCAUCUUUUAGUAGAGGUUACACAAUUAGUGUCUAUUUUUUUUUCUCUUUCCUUGGAGCUUGCAAAGUCGAAUGUAUUGUUGCUUGAUUCAGACUGUUUAUCCUCAAUUUUGUGGGUUUUAUAACGAGUAAUUUGGUUUUGAGAUAA